GGAAAAAUGUGAAAGACAAAAGUACACUACACAGUGAUGCCAAUUCAGCUAGGGAUCAAAUAAAAUCUUUACCAUCAGUUAAGUCACAUUUGAGUCACAUUUAUAAUUGUGUAAGUACCAAUAGAAAUUACCUCGAGUCACAUCUUAAUGUUUCAAAAAUGUUUAAUCUUUUUAAAUAGAAAUGUAUAAACAAAAAAAUUGAGCCAUCAAAAAAAUUCAAUCUUGGCUUUCACAUUCCUAAAAUAAACAAAUGCAACUAUUGUGAGAAGUUUAAAGUUGCUGAAAAUACUGAUAUGAUGUCUAAAAAAAUGAGAGAAGACUUUGAAAGACAUCAAGUUUUUAAAAAAAAAUGAAAGAUAUACUUGCUGAAGAAAAAAAGGAUAAAAAUGUUCCAUUUUACUUUUCGAUCUUCAAAAUGUCAUUUUGACUCGGCAUGCAGAAAUUAGUUCCCUUUUUUAUGUGAGAAAACUAAGCGUGUAAAAUUUGACAGUUUACUUUUCCACAACCAAAAAAGUGUAUUGUGCAUUAUGGACUGAAUCAAUGGCGAGAAGAAGCAGCGAUGAUCUUGCCAGUGCCGUUUGCUAAACUUAAAGUGAUGUGGCUAAGAAAAACCACGUUUAAAUCAAGCCCCGAUUGCAAUAAACCUAUUAACUGUGCAAAUGUCAAGUUUAAUGAAAAACCUAACAGAAAAAAUGCAGCAACAAGUCUAUCAACUUCCACUGUUUUAAAUGUAAAACCAAAUAUUCAAAAAUGUACAAAGGAACUUGUAGACCUAAAAAAAAAAGAUGUUUUUGCUUAUAUCUCUAGAGGACAGAGAUUACUAUUGAGUUGUUCUUCACUUAUAAAAUAAACAGAUACCAUGAAAAACCUUUGAGGUUUGUACUUAAUGAAAUGGUUUUUAAAUGUACCAAUAAAAUGUAGCUCAAAAAAGAAUAUAAAUGAGUUAACAAAAUUUUGUAACCUUGUUUUGUGACUGAAGCAAUAACCUAAUUAUGAAACUUAGCUUUUUAUUAAGAUUUUGUUUCAGUUACAAAAUUUAAAGUAACUAACUGCUUCAGUCACAAAAUUUAAAAGUAACUAACAUGUUUCUAACUACCGUUAUAACAGCAGUUAGAAACUUGUCAUAAUGAGAAAAAGGUUUAUUGCUAUGACAAGGUUCUAACUGUAUUUUGGGGUAUUUAUUUUCCUAUGAAAAAUAAAAGAUUUUUCAAAAAUUAUAGUAAUACCUAUUAGAAAUGCUUAUGUUAUCACGAGUAAAAAUUAUUACUAAUGGAUUUCAAUAAAUUUUGAUAAAAAAAACAUAACAACCUUUUAGAUGGAUUUACUCAAAACUGCUCGCGGAUCAAUUAGAACCUUGUCAAACCAACGCAACGAGUUAACGAGAUUUAUAGAGCCAAUAAAUCUGCGAAAAGCCAUAUGGUUACUGGGCACUAAGGAGUUAACUAGAUUUUGAGGUUAGUUAAAGUAACUGUUUUUCAGUUAUUUUAGUUAACCUAAUCAAAUAGUUAUUAUGCUUUUUUUUUUCUCUUAUCUAAAUAAGAUAUUCACAUUGCCUGUUGAGCAAAUAAUAAAGCAAACUAUCGAUACAAUUGAUGUUAACUCUUGAUAAACAUCCUGCUUAGCUACUUAAGUCAACAUGAAUAAAACAUAUAAAUACACCUAAUCUUCACUAUCAUUUACUUUAACAAAUUUUAUAUUUGGAAACUUGUGAAAAUAAUUUUUAUAUUAUUAAACAUGGAAACAUAUAUCCUGCUCUCACUUCUAGGCUAUGCGAUAACGUUUGAUACGCAAAAUUGGAUGAGGGAUGUUGAUGGAAAUAAAAAACUUAGUCAAUUGGCCAUACCUGGAACUCAUGAUUCUGGAGCAUACAAUACACCUGGAGAUAUCGUAGAAACUCAAGAUUGGAGUAUAAUGCAGCAAUUAGAGAAUGGGAUUUGAUUCCUUGAUAUUCGUCUCGGCAAUAACGGUGCAAGUAAUGACUUUGAAAUUCGACACGGAAAUCUAAGGUUAGGUAGUUUCAAUAACUUGGUAAUUAAUAUUGUUAACAAUUUUCUUGAUAGAAAUCCAAGUGAAACUAUUCUUAUGACUAUAAAAGAUGAGGAUAUCUUGGAUAUACCAAGACUUGUGAGAGAUUACCUUCGGAACUUUAAUCAUAAAUUCUAUCAAAACGCGAUCACACCAUCUACAAGAUUGAAUGAAGAUCGUGGGAAAAUAGUUCUUUUUAACCGUUACGGCAACGACAACAGUAUGGGGAUUUUAUGGGAUUCUAUCAAACCCAACAUACAAGAUGAAUACGAAUUGGACACAGAAUGCAAACCUAUAAUUGGUUGCGGAUUUUGGGUAGGAUUGGAUUAUCCAAAAAAAGCGCGUCUGGUUAAACAGCAUUUAGAAAUUGCAAAACAAAAUUAUGGAAAAAACAUUUUUUUUAUAAGCUUUGCAAGCGCACACAAGUUUCUAACAAAGUAAUCAAAGAAUUUUUUGAGUCUAAUUUAGAAGUUGGAGUCAUUGUCCCUAUGGAUUACCCAAACCGUCGGUUAGGUCUUAUUUUGAGCAUGAUAUAUGGUUCAAUAUACAGUGAUAAAAUAUGUCUAACUAUGAGCACACAAAAUGAUGGACUUUAUGGCACGUGGGGAGAAAAAGAAAUGUGUCCACCGAACCAAUAUGUUUAUGGCAUGAGACUUCGAAGUUAACCAAAGCUUGGGAGUGGCGAUGACACAGCUUUAAAUGCUGUUGAACUAUAUUGCAACAACAAACAAGGACAGACUCACUCAGUUAUAUCAAAUAAACAGGGACCGUUUGGAUUGUGGACUCCUAAUGUAUAUUGCCCCUCAUUUUCUGAUCCAGUAACAGGGUAUAAUCUUUUAAUUGAACCAGCACAAGGAAGUGAUGACGACACCGCUGACAACAAUCUUGCUCUAUAUUGUAGAGAUGGAACUGUAAUAAAUGCACAAGUUUAUACAAAUUAGGGUGUGUGGCAACCCAUAAACUCUUGUCCUCAUGGAAUGGCUGUUGUAGGUUUAGUCACACGUGUAGAAGAUCACGAAGACGACAUGGACGAUACAGCUUUAAAUGGACUUAGAAUGUUUCGCAAAACUUUCUAAGUUUUAGUAAAGCUCAAUCAAUAAUGACAAUUUUACCUAAAACCUAAAAACCUUACACAUAUAUUCAUACUAUUUAAAUAUUAAAACUCUUAAAAAUC
This is a long non-coding RNA of Hydra vulgaris (swiftwater hydra), 3199 nucleotides long. RefSeq lists it as uncharacterized. NCBI's taxonomy places the organism in Eukaryota, Metazoa, Cnidaria, Hydrozoa, Anthoathecata, Hydridae. The record is from RefSeq and is a predicted model, not a curated record.